RNAcentral lists this long non-coding RNA (3768 nucleotides) under Sorghum bicolor (sorghum). RNAcentral's name for it is "long non-coding RNA (SBIC_LNC008600)". Lineage: Eukaryota; Viridiplantae; Streptophyta; Magnoliopsida; Poales; Poaceae. The record is from RNAcentral.
GUGAAGAACCGGGAUCUACAAGCACAAACACAAUGGAGAUCAGACACUUAGUUUCCCAAAGGAAAUAUUGAGGAACCUCUGUGUCCGAGUUGGUACCUUGUACACUCCAGCAAACUUCGUGGUGAUAGAUAUUGGUACUUAGGAGAGGGCACCCAUCAUCUUAGGGAGGCCAUUCCUAAAGACCAGAGCUGUCAUCUACGCUAAUGCUGCCAAGAUCAGUCUCUACAUCAAGGGGAAGAAGGAGACUUUCCUUCAAGAACAAGACUACACAAGCUUCAGAGCAAUCCCGACAUAAACCAAGGAAGAGGACCAACAGGAGGAACAGGAACAAGCAAAUGUGGACCGAGUCAGCUAAGAUGGUCACUGCAGCUCAAGGAGGUCAAGAUCGUCGACUCAAGUCACCUUUCUUGAUCAAGAAGGAUGACCCUGGUGUUCCAAGAAUCGAAUGCACAAACAAUGGAUACUCUUUUUAGAAGACACUCUACGACACCGGAUCUGACGACAACAUAAUGGCCGCAGUCACUUAUCAGCUCCUGCAUGGAACCAUGCCCCUACAACCAAGAUACAUUCAGCUUCAAACAACUUUCAGGUCAUUGACAUGGGAGAAGACGAGUAUGAUCCAUCCACCAUCCUUGGAAGACCGUUCCUCAGCACUAUCAAAGCCAUUAUCUAUAUUGGAACCGGAGAAGUCCACAUGCACUUCCCCUCUGAGAAGGUACGCCACUACUUUAAUGAUUCUAACUAUAUAGUUGAAGAUUCUAAGUAGGUCAGGACAAGAAGAAGACAAACCGCAACCAGAGGAGGCAAAUCGGACGGAUGGGUAGACUACGAAGGAGAAGUGAUAAGGACUGAAGACAUACAACUUGAACAGAACUGUCCUGAGGAGACCGUAGCACCGAGUCAGGUGUGGAAAGAGAAGAUAGUUAUACACGAAGAGGAGGCGCCGCCGGAACCACCGACUACGCCACCCAGCAAAUCCCAGGACGACUAAGAAAACGGAGAGUGCCGUUCGGAGGACUUAAAAAUACCGAACGCCUUGCCAAGAGGUAAACUUGGUAGUUAUCCUUUCCCUUUCAAUUAUUUUAAAUAGUUUACUUAGUUAAUCAUAUUCAUACUAUCUUCAAAAUAAAAGAAAAUAAAAAUGUGAAAAACAGUAAGCCCCAUGUGAGUAUACGAGUGGCAUAAAACCCAUAAGUACAUUCACUGUGGUGGCAUAAAAAUAAAAUAAAUAUUUUUCUGCUUUAUAAAAUGAAAAUAUAAAAAAUAGGGAGUAAUAAUUAUUAAGGAGUCUCAAGAUGAUAAAGGCUAGAUAUUUAUGCUAACACUUAAUCAGUUCCUCAAGCUUUGUUGUCUAUUUGAGCUCCACAGAAUUUAAGAAUCAAGAAGACUAGCAGACGGAGGACAUUCUAAUCGCUGUCAGAAUGCUGCUGACUUUCAAAAACACCUCUACCACCUGCUAGCUACAUCAAGAGAAAUUACGUCAAAAUUCAGCAUGGGGGAGAGCACCCCCAUUUAUCUCGAUAAGUAUUUCUAUCUAUCUAUCUUUAUACUUAUACUAUAUUAGAAUAUAAAUACACAUAACUAUGAAAAACCAAAUAAAGAUUUUAUGCUUAUAUAUAUUUUGCUUAGUGUGUUUAAUAAAUAAAUAAAGUGGCUAUGCUAAUCUGUAUCUAAUAAAACUUAAGCAUGGAUAUGAUGAAUAGUUGCUCUGCCUAAUUUGCAAAUUUGAAGUUCUCUCUCAAGUUUAGAUAUAACUGUUAUAAUUUAAGGCUUGCUCUAGACCUAAACUUGUGGGAUGAAAACUUGAUCUGAAGUCCAAGUUGUUAACGGAUACGAUAUGGGAAGGUUGAGCUGCUGUUUAUCUGUUCCUAGAGAUGCUAGAAUUCUGGAGAAUUUUAUCUUUGAAAAUCUUUAAAAUGUUGCAUGAUGAGUUCCUCUAUGAUGAGAGUUUAAAUUCCUACCACAUCCAUAUAUACAUGCUUGCUAGACCUUGAGCCACAUAUUUACUUUUUACUGCUCAUGAGCAUUGAGUGUGGUCAAGCUGUGUAGACCCUUAGGAGCUUGUCAUGUGGUUAAAUCAAGAUUCACUUGCACGUUCACUCAUACAUGUUACUUCUACUCCGGAAGUACUAUCCAUUCAUUUCCAUCUCCAAAACCACCCAAAAGUAUUCUACUCCUAAUCCGGGAGAGAAUAGCCAAAAACAUUUUCCUAUCCCUGUUAUUCCCUGUGAAAUAAAUGCUCCAGUUAUUUUGGUUACUACCACUUGCUACAUUAUUUCAGGAGAUGAGUGCUCUAAAAAAAAGAGAGAGAGAAAAAAAAUGAAUACGAGGAAAUAAAAAGGGGCAAGUGCCCGGAACCUCGAAGAAAAAGAAAAAAAGUGAGACGAAAGGUAAAAAUGGACAAGUGUCCGACAGUAGAAUUAGGGGUACAAGAUACCCACCUGAGAGGAAAGAAAAAGAAAAUAUAGAGCAUCUCAUUAUCCUCAAAAAGCUUCAAAGUGCAAGAAAGGUAUGUAUCCCCUCAAAAGAGCAAAAGUAGAAUUAGACUUUCACCAUUGUUAUCACCAUCAUCACCAUACACCAUUCAUUCGCCACACAUGCACAUCUUGAUUUGGCUUAUUGAUUUGUUUCUUUGGAUCCAUGGUUUGACUAUGCAAUAAAUGUCUUGUAAGUAUGUAUACUUUAUCUCCCACCUAUGAGCUCCAGAUAUUAAAGCCUUAUUAGAGUAGGGUGAGAGAGAAGACAAUGUCACUAUGCUUCAUACCACAAAUACUACAUAUCUUGAGAGAAGGCAUAUACCAUCGCUGCCUUGGUAAGGAUCCAAAAAUACCACAAAAGAGAGACCUGAGAGAAUCAUACAAGGAUUUUCUGAGUUUUAUUUGAAAAUCUGCAAAAACCCCAGAGCUAUAGCUGAUCAAGAAUAAGAGACAUGGCACUUGGCUAGACUGUUCUAUCUUUUAACCACUCAAGACAGAAGUGACGGUUACAAGUCCUAUGGUGUAGGUAAAGUAAGUAAGUUUUAAGUCUUAACAGUUUAUUCCAACCCAGAGAUAAGAUCUUACUUAAAAGCAUGUGUACCGUCAAAUUUUUAAAGAUAUUGCAACUACUUAUGAUCCAUAGCUGAGUCUAUCCUUGCUCAGGGACGAGCAAGAGGUAAGCUUGGGGGAGUUUGUUGACGGUCCUUAAGUAUCAAAUUUAAUUAUCAAAUAAAUAAAGAAAUGGAUCCAAAUGAAAUCAACAUCUAGACUUAGGGUUUUAUCUGACAGAAUUCCACGAGUUUUGGUGUUUGUCUAUUUCUGCAGGGGGUUAUCCGGAAAUAAGGAAGAAAGGCCCACAUGUCGGGAUUACAUAGAGAUAUCAACCCACCGCGCAAUUUUCUACCAUCUAGAAGACUCCAGAAGCCACGGGAAGGAAGCGGAGCCCGAAAGGGGCCAGGCCCAGGGCGCCCGCCCACCUCUGGACCCCGUUCCGGACUCUCUUCGCACACGACGUUCCACCGACCUAUUGGAUCCAGAAUAACAUAGUACCACCUCGCCUAUCGACCCAAAAAUGCAUAGAAGGGGAGGACUAUAUAAGGAGACCCCCUCUGGCCCCUGGAGGAGACAAAAAAUUAUCAUAGAGAUUGAGGGGUGCCCUUGAAGGAAAACCUCUUCUCUAAAUAAUAUUUCUUUUUAGGCUUAGCAACCAAUGUAAAGUAGAAAUAGAUCUUCUCGUUUCUACUAGAUUGAGAGAGAUAGAGUGGAGGUGUGGAUCGGAGGAAGGCCGGCC